Molecule: long non-coding RNA, 958 nt
Filed under: Panax ginseng (ginseng)
Lineage: Eukaryota; Viridiplantae; Streptophyta; Magnoliopsida; Apiales; Araliaceae
Description: long non-coding RNA (PGIN_LNC009366)
Source: RNAcentral
AAUGAUGUGUAUAAAUAACUCAUUUAUCAAAAGAAAUAUUAAUUAAUGUGAAAAAAAAUAUAUUAUUUCUCUCUACUGAUACUUCAUUAAAAUUAAAUUCAAAAGUAAAUGAUACUUCAUUAAAAUUAAAUUCGUAUUCAACCAGGAAAGAAAGAAGACGCAAAAACAGAGAAGCAAUCAUCUGUUCUUUGAGGUGCCAUUUUUAUUCUUCGAAGAAUCCCGAUGCACCUUAUAAUUCAUCGGUAAGAGCUCAUCUAUUUAUCAAUAUUUUCUUUUAAAUUUUCCUGCAAAGUCUUCGUUGUCAUGAAUAGAAACCCUAUACAUCCUUUCUACAAUAGUUCUUUAUUCACUCUAUCUAUGAUAUAUGAGAAUUUGGGUUAUUAGCCAUGAGGCAGUUCAAUGGUAGUCGCAGAAUUCGUGGAUUCAUCAGCGAAUUAUGUACCCUGGUCAUAGUUUUCUUGUUUUACAACCGGGGAGAUAUUACGAGGAACCCAGUGCUUAGGCAAUCAAACCUAAUUUCGGGCAGCGGGUUUUGUGGUGGGUCAAAUCAUAGGUCAGUAAUUCACCAUCAUCUACAUCCACUAGUACAACCACUACCCAAUUCAUAAUAAGCCGAAUUUUCGCUUACCUGUGCAGCCCAAAAAGACUCAUGGCUAGAGGCGGAGAAUAGAUCUAUAUGACCUAGAACUAUCAUCGAGGCUAGAGAGUAGCAAAGAAUGAUGAUGAUUCAGAUCUAUGACUAGCGCUAGAGAGAGGCGAAGAAGAGAUGGCCAAGAUCUACAAAUGAUUUUGGGUUUAUGGAUAGUUUUGUUUUUGAAAAUUUAAUGUAUAUAGAUGAUUUUGUUUGGUGAUAUUUUAUUUGGGGAGAAGAUGAUGAACAAUGGGUUGUGAUUUAUUUUGAUAUUAUCUUUAAUUUAUUAUAUUAUUGAAUAGAAAUUAUUGGAAUGUUUGGGUCGGG